Chroicocephalus ridibundus (black-headed gull) is the source of this 391-nucleotide long non-coding RNA. RefSeq lists it as uncharacterized. Lineage: Eukaryota; Metazoa; Chordata; Aves; Charadriiformes; Laridae. The record is from RefSeq and is a predicted model, not a curated record. The transcript has 3 exons.
AAUCAAACUGUGUUUCUCACAUGUAAAAACCAAGGGGAAAAAAAAGAAAAAGCGAAAAACAAAGCCCAGGCCUCAAAGAACAUUGUCGGUGAAGUCAUUCUGUUAGACAUAUACAGGACUGAAGCAUGGCAUGGAGAAAACCUCAAGAUCAAGCCCUUUUUCCUGAAACUUUUGGCUCAGUACUCAGGCUGUCAGCUCAUUGAAAGUGAGGUCAAUCUGACCACACUCUUCCUAAAGGAUCCUCUUCUGAACCAUCUACUUGAGUAUACAUCUCCUGACAAAUCAAUGGCAGAAUCAAGAGGAGCACUUGCUGCAAGCUCUGCGGUAGGGGCUGUCGUGCUCCUGUGAAGUUAUAGCACGGUGGGGCUGCUGCACAAGAGCAACACAAGUA